RNAcentral lists this long non-coding RNA (1238 nucleotides) under Anser brachyrhynchus (Pink-footed goose). RNAcentral's name for it is "lncRNA (ENSABRG00000013968.1)". The record is from RNAcentral. Lineage: Eukaryota; Metazoa; Chordata; Aves; Anseriformes; Anatidae.
GACUCGGGUUGCCUGUGGAGAGAUGACUGUGAUGGCUGCCAAACUGAUUCGAGGCUUGUUGAUGCAGAGGAGGUGACUGCUGGUGCCCGUGUCUGGUGUAGACUACUCCGCUCCUUGGUCCUUAAUGUAUGAGAAGCAAUUGCUGUAAGUGUUACAAGAUCUGUUUACUGCUCUGGGAUAUUAUUAACUUUGAAAAAAGAAUGCCUGUAUGGAGAAAACAACCUUACCUGACAACUUUGAUGUAAGAAGAGCCUUCUCCCUUUGACUGCUCCAGCGAUGCUGCAGCGUUAUGUGGGUGCGUUCAACCCUUUCAUCCCUUCAGUCAGUGCUAUAUAACAUUUACAUGUCUCAGAAAUGUGACAUAUGUACAGUACAUGUGUGAGAGGGUGGGUAGACUAGUCUUUCAAAGAUUAUUCAAAAAAGCAGGAUGUUUUUGUCAACCAGGAAAGAUUAGAGUAUUUUACAGCUAGAGUAGAGAAAUAUUUUUCAUGUGAUUAGAAAAACCAUUAUUAUUAAAAUACUUAUUUACUUACUUAUUUAAAUUAAUGCAGACCCAUUCCUGACCAGAAGUGGAACUGAGGGGCCAGGCUGCGCCCUGUGGGGGGGCCGCCGGAACCCUCUAGAACCUUCUGGAAGCAGCCAGGGCCUUUCCUGACAGAGCCCCGCGGCUGAUGCCUGGACACCUGCACCAGGUGCUGGUAACUGCCUCCUGCCUGAAUCGGUGCCAGCACUGACCAGCCAGUACGAUAAAUACCAUUUCUGUGCCCCUUUCUGUAUGCUCCCAGAGGCUAUGGAAAUACGAGAGACAGGCAGCCAUGCGGGGGCUGAGAGGAAAGCUCAGGCGAGCUGGGGAAGGAGCAUGGCACAGGUCAGCAGCACAACGCUGGUGGCAAAAGGCUGUGGAAAUGAAGAGUCCCAGCACCAAGCAGGAGGAAAAAGCAGCACCUGCUGCCUGCAGAGCCCAGGAGGAUGGAUCCUGUCCCAGGGAGCACGAAGAAGCUGCUUUGUGAAAGCCAGCAGCUUUCCUGAAGGAAAAGCUGAUCCAUCAGACCUCCUGUAUCUAAAAUGGGAUGAAAGAAAAUGAUGGACCUAUUUCUAUGCUGGUGUUUCUCAGCCUUCUGCAAUGGGAGAGUCGAGAGAAACUGAGUUAUAUCCUGCAAGACAAGCUGGAGAGAAGGAAUUUUGAGUGCUCCUGGCAACCCUAACCUUUCCUGCCAAAGAGGAACUGGUGGAAAAAG